RNAcentral lists this ribosomal RNA (597 nucleotides) under Isochrysis galbana. RNAcentral's name for it is "partial Bacterial large subunit ribosomal RNA". It matches the Rfam family "Bacterial large subunit ribosomal RNA", at positions 1122 to 1850 of the family's 2925-position model. Lineage: Eukaryota; Haptophyta; Isochrysidales; Isochrysidaceae. The record is from RNAcentral.
UUUAAAGAGUGCGUAACAGCUCACUAGUCGAGCGGUCGAGCAUGGAUAAUAAUCGGGCAUAAGCACAUUACCGAAGCAGUGGAUUUUAUGGUAGGAGAGCAUUUUAAACGGGCUGAAGGUGUACCGCGAGGUAUGCUGGAGGUAUCGGAAGUGAGAAUGCUGACAUGAGUAGCGAUAAAGAGUGUGAGAAACACUCUCGCCGAAAGUCCAAGGGUUCCUGCGUAAAGCUAAUCUGCGCAGGGUGAGCCGGCCCCUAAGGCGAGGCCGAAAGGCGUAGUCGAUGGGAACCAGGUUAAUAUUCCUGGGCCAGCGGGUAGUGACGGAUCGUGAGAGCUCAUCGUCCUUACUGGAUUGGACGGUGUGGGUAGCGAUCCCUGGAAAUAGCUCCCGCAUGAGACCGUACCCCAAACCGACACAGGUGGACUGGUAGAGCAUACCAAGGCGCUUGAGAGAACUCUGCUGAAGGAACUCGGCAAAUUACUCCCGUAAGUUCGCGAGAAGGGAGCCUCAUCAUGAAGAUGAGGGGCACAGACCAGGGGGUGGCGACUGUUUACUAAAAACAUAGGGCUCUGCGAAGUCGCAAGACGACGUAUAGGG